This 322-nucleotide ribosomal RNA is filed under the name uncultured eukaryote. RNAcentral's name for it is "partial 18S ribosomal RNA". It matches the Rfam family "Eukaryotic small subunit ribosomal RNA", at positions 1470 to 1796 of the family's 1831-position model. The record is from RNAcentral.
CCCUUAGAUGUUCUGGGCCGCACGCGUGCUACACUGAGUGGAUCAGCGGGUCAGGUUGCGCGAAAGCGUUUCCUAAUCUUUAAAUCCGCUCGUGAUGGGGAUUGACGGUUGCAAUUUUCUGUCAUGAACGAGGAAUACCUUGUAAGCGCGGGUCAUCAUCCCGCGCUGAAUACGUCCCUGCCCUUUGUACACACCGCCCGUCGCUCCUACCGAUUGAGUGGUCCGGUGAGGCUUUGGGAUCUGAGCGGAAAGAGCGUUUCGCUGUUUCUGCUCGGAAAACUCAGUCGAACCUCAUCAUUUAGAGGAAGGAGAAGUCGUAACA